This 547-nucleotide ribosomal RNA is filed under the name uncultured bacterium. Its description in RNAcentral is "bacterial SSU rRNA". It matches the Rfam family "Bacterial small subunit ribosomal RNA", at positions 355 to 896 of the family's 1533-position model. The record is from RNAcentral.
UGGGGAAUAUUGCGCAAUGGGGGGAACCCUGACGCAGCCAUGCCGCGUGAAUGAAGAAGGCCUUAGGGUUGUAAAGUUCUUUCGGUAUUGAGGAAGGUUGAUGUGUUAAUAGCACAUCAAAUUGACGUUAAAUACAGAAGAGGCACCGGCUAACUCCGUGCCAGCAGCCGCGGUAAUACGGAGGGUGCGAGCGUUAAUCGGAAUAACUGGGCGUAAAGGGCACGCAGGCGGUUAUUUAAGUGAGGUGUGAAAGCCCCGGGCUUAACCUGGGAAUUGCAUUUCAGACUGGGUAACUAGAGUACUUUAGGGAGGGGUAGAAUUCCACGUGUAGCGGUGAAAUGCGUAGAGAUGUGGAGGAAUACCGAAGGCGAAGGCAGCCCCUUGGGAAUGUACUGACGCUCAUGUGCGAAAGCGUGGGGAGCAAACAGGAUUAGAUACCCUGGUAGUCCACGCUGUAAACGCUGUCGAUUUGGGGGUUGGGGUUUAACUCUGGCGCCUGUAGCUAACGUGAUAAAUCGACCGCCUGGGGAGUACGGCCGCAAGGUUA